GGGGCUGCAAUGGUCUCGACGGGGAUAGAUGGUGUAAGAAUAGCGAGCCCCGGGGUCAUCGAACCGGGUUAGUAAGGUGAAAUUGCUUAAAUAUAAAAGCAAACGAAGAUUACGCUCUGGCCGCUUAAGGCCGGCCUCCUACGUCCGACUUCCCGCUAGGGCGGGUGGAGGUCAAAGCGGGAUACCGCAUUGUGAAUGUGAUGUAGCAGUGCUGGGAAAUUUACAUCGCUCGGUUUGAGGGAGGUUGCCGGUGGGCUCCUGAUAACUUAAAGCUGAUCAUCAGGCUGCGCUCGGAGAAGUUUUUGCAACAAUAUUUUCGGACAGGAGUUCGAUUCUCCUCAGCUCCACCA
This 350-nucleotide transfer-messenger RNA is filed under the name Selenomonadaceae. RNAcentral describes it as "UBA9786 sp003518745 Standard tmRNA". It matches the Rfam family "transfer-messenger RNA". From Rfam's summary of the family: Bacterial tmRNA, also known as 10Sa RNA or SsrA, is named for its dual tRNA and mRNA-like properties. Its role is to liberate the mRNA from a stalled ribosome. Lineage: Bacteria; Bacillati; Bacillota; Negativicutes; Selenomonadales. RNAcentral also lists the same sequence under 1 other name. The record is from RNAcentral.